CCAUCUCUUUAAGAAUUUUCCACAGUUUGUUGUGAUCCACAUAGUCAAUGGUUUUUACGUAGUCAGUGAAACAGAGGUUGACUCUUUUCUGGAAUUCUUUUGCUUUUUUUUUCUAUGAUCCAGUAGAUAUUGGCAGUUUGAUCUCUAGUUCCUCUGCCUUUUCUAAAUCCAGCUUGUACAUGUGGAAGUUCUCAAGCCUAUUUUAUUAAUGGAAAGUGCAGAUCGUCUGGUGUAAUUUACUGAAUACUGAAUGCAAAAAAGACAGGGUGGUUGUCAGGGUCCAGCAGAGCUGUGAGUGUGAGUUGCUCACUGUCCUGAGCACCAGAGGUCCGGGCUGCAGCCACUGUACUGCCCAGCUCCCACUGCAGAGGACAGACUGCACAUUGCCAGGGGGAAACAUCGAAACUCGAAAUUCGAAGUGUGGUUUCUCCUGAAUGUGUGUUGCUUUCGCAGCCUGAUAAAGUCAAAGAGUAAAACACUGAGUCGUGAGUCAGGGACCUUCUGCAUGAGAUGGUUUUGUUUUUACACCAAGGGGAAUCAGUCUUCAACCCCUACUCUGUGAGACAUGAGGUCUAUUUGUCUGAAUUCCUCAAGUGACCACUGCCCAGUCCGCUCAGCUUGACUUUCCCUAAAGACUGUUUCUAGGAGAAAGUGGCCAGGGUUGCUUCCCUUCCUUACUGUCUGGAUGGCUCAGGCACUUCACACCCACAGGGAUCACUUCCCGCAUCUACACUUAAGCGGUCAACGUGGCUUUGGGGUUCAGAUGGUUGCUGUGUGCUAGAGAGUAUCCUCUUUCUCAGCAGAACUUUGUGAUAAAGACAGAAUUGGGAGCAGGUUCAGAUAAGAUGCAUUUCCCAUGGUUUUUAAUGAGGACAUUUGCCAGAGAGCAGUUAGUCACCAGGACUCUUCGAGACUUGGGGCAGGAACUCGGGCCCACGGUGUGUGCCCAAGUCGGCCAGGCCCCAGGAACACACGUGUGCCCAGGCUCUCCUCUCCCAGAGAAGCAGCACUGCCCACUCAGCAGAGACGGGGCCUCCAUCUGAGGGUGGCAAACGUGCCUUGGCCUGUUAGAUGCGCAAGUGAAUCUCACCCGAAAGUCUUCCCUCUGGUGUCCUGUGAGAGCUCCCCGUCUGACAAGAACACUGUGGCCCUGGGCUGCCUGGCCCAGGACUUCGUGCCCAAUUCUGUCAGCUUCUCCUGGAAGUUCAAGAACAACAGCACGGUCAGCAGUGAGAAAUUCUGGACCUUCCCCGAAGUCCUGAGGGACGGCUUGUGGUCGGCCUCCUCUCAGGUGGUCCUGCCCUCCCCGAGAGUCCCCCAGGGGUCAAAGGACUACCUGGUGUGUGAAGUCCAGCACCCCAAGGAUGGAAAGACCAUCAGGACUGUGGAGGUGUCCCCCAGAGCGUCAGCGUCAACCCCAACCCCGACUCCGACCACGUUAGCGCCUUCUACGACACCCAGGUCAGAGGGCUCCAACAAAGUCGUCAACACUCAGAGCAGCCCAGUGCCGUCCACCAGCCACAGCCAGCCAGAUGCCCAGACACUGGUGUGUCCGAAGGACCCCUGCAGAGAGAGUCAGAACCACACCCAGGCCCCUCGCGUCCGCCUGCUGCCCCCACCCCCGCGGAGCCUCUGGCUCCUGGACAAGGCCGAGUUCACCUGCUUGGCCACAGGGGAGGCCCCGCCGCACGCCCACUUCUCCUGGGAGGUGAACGGGCAGCCCCACAGCGGGGCCGUGGACGAGGGGCCCACCCAGGACCGCAACGGCUCCUGGAGCCAGAGCAGCCGCCUGGCCCUGCCCAGGUCCCUGUGGGCCUUGGGCUCCACCGUCACCUGCACUCUGAGCAGCCCCGGCCUGCGGUCGCCGGUGACCCUGAUGGCACAGAGAGAACGUGCUGCCUCAGUGCCCAGCAAUCUGACCCUCCGCACUCUGACCCCGCCUGGCCCCUUCUCCGCUGCCUGGCUCCUGUGCGAGGUAUCCGGCUUCUCACCCGUGGAUGUCCUCCUCACAUGGCUGAAGGGCCAGCAAGAGAUGGAGCCUUCGCAGUUUGCAACGGCGCAGCCCGCACCCCAGGACGGGCGUGCCUCAUUCCGCACCUGGAGCGCCCUGCGCGUCUCCAGCCUUCUGGACGACGCGGGGACCACCUACACCUGUGUGGUCAGCCACGAGGCCUCCCGGACGCUCCUCAACGGCAGCUGCAGCCUGGACCCUGGUGGUCAGGCCACCUGGCCACCCUGGAGCCUGGACGAGAGCAGCAAUGAUGGUGUGGACGUGGAGGAUGCCAGCCCGCUCUGGCUCACCUUCCUGGCCCUCUUCCUCGUCACCGUGGUCUACGGCGGCUUCGUCACCUUCAUCAAGGUGAAGUAGCCCUGGAGAGAAGACACCGGGCUCCGCACAGACAGAACCUGGCCUCCACACCAUCUGCUGCUCCCAGAGGGCAGAGGAGCCCACGCUGGACCCCACCCUGCGGCCCCACCCUCUGUCCACCACAGAGCCCAGCCCCCAGCCCGAGGAGGACAUCAUGGUGCAGAGAGGGGGGCCCCCGGCUGGCCCUGCAGCCCCAGAGCCGGUGGCCCUGGCUGCAGCCCCCUUGCCUCCCCACCCACCAUCCGCCACAUAAAGAGCUUUGAUCCUUC
Dama dama (fallow deer) is the source of this 2637-nucleotide non-coding RNA. The record is from the annotation of a RefSeq genome assembly. Lineage: Eukaryota; Metazoa; Chordata; Mammalia; Artiodactyla; Cervidae.